GGGUCGAUGCCCGAGUGGUUAAUGGGGGCGGACUGUAAAUCCGCUGCGUAAGCUACGUUGGUUCAAAUCCAUCUCGGCCCA
RNAcentral lists this transfer RNA (81 nucleotides) under Pseudanabaena sp. RNAcentral describes it as "tRNA-Tyr". It matches the Rfam family "tRNA". From Rfam's summary of the family: Transfer RNA (tRNA) molecules are approximately 80 nucleotides in length. Their secondary structure includes four short double-helical elements and three loops (D, anti-codon, and T loops). The record is from RNAcentral. Lineage: Bacteria; Bacillati; Cyanobacteriota; Cyanophyceae; Pseudanabaenales; Pseudanabaenaceae. RNAcentral also lists the same sequence under 26 other names.